RNAcentral lists this ribosomal RNA (253 nucleotides) under uncultured bacterium. RNAcentral's name for it is "partial 16S ribosomal RNA". It matches the Rfam family "Bacterial small subunit ribosomal RNA", at positions 524 to 776 of the family's 1533-position model. The record is from RNAcentral.
UACGUAGGGGGCAAGCGUUGUCCGGAUUUAUUGGGCGUAAAGAGCGUGUAGGCGGCCGUACAGGUCAGCUGUGAAAACUCGAGGCUCAACCUCGAGACGUCGGUUGAAACCGUACGGCUAGAGUCCGGAAGAGGAGAGUGGAAUUCCUGGUGUAGCGGUGAAAUGCGCAGAUAUCAGGAAGAACACCCGUGGCGAAGGCGGCUCUCUGGUACGUGACUGACGCUGAGACGCGAAAGCGUGGGGAGCGAACAGG